This is a long non-coding RNA of Mauremys reevesii (Reeves's turtle), 785 nucleotides long. RefSeq lists it as uncharacterized. The transcript is spliced from 5 exons. The record is from RefSeq and is a predicted model, not a curated record. Lineage: Eukaryota; Metazoa; Chordata; Testudines; Geoemydidae.
UGAUGUGUGCUUAAUUAUCUCAGCCAUAAUAAUAGCGAUACUGUGUGGCACCAAAGCACUGGUGAGCAUUUUAUUGGGUAUGAUGAGCGUUGAGUGUCCAGCUACAAUUUUAUUUCCUUGUGUUAUCCUAUGUAUUUCAGGCUUAUGUGCAAAUGAUAUGGGGAAAUUGCUUUGGUCAGUGAACAAAUACCACAGAAAUUAUAUAAAUCUGAACCUCGUCACAUGAUAUUGACCAGAAGAAAAUAGCCACACUUGUAAAGAAGAUUGCUUGGUAGUUUAUUUACAACAGAAUGUAAGGAAAAAGAUCAAUGGCAAAGUCUGAGAUCUGCUUCCUGCCACUGGAGACCGCACUUAGCAUGAAAGGACAGGGAUAGAGUAAGGGUGGCUUUUUGGAUGCCUCAAGACAAAGAUUCUUUCUGGUGUGCAGAUUCUUUUUCUUAAACUCCUACCAGGGAACAUUCUACCAACAGUAGCUCAGCUUCCCACAGGCUGCGAGUGGCCGUACCUGCGGACGCACUGGUAAAUAAAGCAUCUCAUGACCCGCCACGGGCUUACCAUGAAUAAGCUGCGAACCAAGUUUGGGAACCCCCUGCUCUAAAUCGAGCCCCUGAAAUCUGUUAUUCCUAAAUGGUACUGGAAGACCAUGGGAUAGAGUUAAGAUACCGAGAGGCUGGUGAGUCAUUUGACAAGGUGACAUAUAGCAUGGAUUUCAGUACGCAACAGAUGGCUUUUACUCUACAAUAUACUUAUUUUUCACUCUGUUAGAAAUACAGUUUUUCACCGUC